Long non-coding RNA from Saccostrea cuccullata (small rock oyster), 231 nucleotides. RefSeq lists it as uncharacterized. The record is from RefSeq and is a predicted model, not a curated record. Lineage: Eukaryota; Metazoa; Mollusca; Bivalvia; Ostreida; Ostreidae. The transcript has 2 exons.
GCAUUUAUCAGUAUGUUUUAAUAAAAUAAAAUGUAUUUCAGCAAUGCAUUAUCAAGAAGGAAGAGAUUAAUGAACCCUACCCUCUUACAAUGAACAACACAUGGACACCCUCGGGAUGAUCCCUCUGCUUUCAUUAAGAGUUCCAAGAUGUUGGUCUGAUUGACUGGGGUGUGAAAUGUAACAGCCAAUGGUGUACUUAAGCUAAGACUGUCAGUCCCAAUAUUCAAGAGG